GACGAACCGUGCGAACGUUAUUCGGAAUCAUUGGGCUUAAAGGGCGCGUAGGCGGGUCGGCGCGUCGGAGCUGAAAGCCUCCGGCUCAACCGGGGAAUGGGCGCCGCGACGGCGGACCUGGAGGCGCGGCGGGGGACCUGGAACGUCCGGUGGAGCGGUGAAAUGCGUUGAGAUCGGACGGAACGCCGACGGCGAAAGCAAGGUCCUGGACGCGCCCUGACGCUGAGGCGCGAAAGCCAGGGGAGCGAACGGG
RNAcentral lists this ribosomal RNA (253 nucleotides) under uncultured Singulisphaera sp. Its description in RNAcentral is "partial 16S ribosomal RNA". It matches the Rfam family "Bacterial small subunit ribosomal RNA", at positions 524 to 776 of the family's 1533-position model. The record is from RNAcentral. Lineage: Bacteria; Pseudomonadati; Planctomycetota; Planctomycetia; Isosphaerales; Isosphaeraceae.